AACCCGAGAGAUCGGGCGUCCCCUUCGGGGGACAGGGUGACAGGUGGUGCAUGGUUGUCGUCAGCUCGUGUCGUGAGAUGUUGGGUUAAGUCCCGCAACGAGCGCAACCCUCGACCUUAGUUGCCAGCAUUCAGUUGGGCACUCUAAGGUGACUGCCGGCUAAAAGUCGGAGGAAGGUGGGAUGACGUCAAAUCAUCAUGCCCCUUAUGACCUGGGCUACACACGUGCUACAAUGGGCGGUACAAAGGGUCGCGAACCCGCGAGGGGGGAGCCAAUCCCAAAAAAGCCGCUCUCAGUUCGGAUUGCAGGCUGCAACUCGCCUGCAUGAAGCCGGAAUCGCUAGUAAUCGCGGAUCAGCAUGCCGCGGUGAAUACGCUCCCGGGCCUU
RNAcentral lists this ribosomal RNA (387 nucleotides) under uncultured Anoxybacillus sp. RNAcentral's name for it is "bacterial SSU rRNA". It matches the Rfam family "Bacterial small subunit ribosomal RNA", at positions 996 to 1382 of the family's 1533-position model. The record is from RNAcentral. Lineage: Bacteria; Bacillati; Bacillota; Bacilli; Caryophanales; Anoxybacillaceae.